UCAAAGACAAGUCCAAGUAAAGAACUAAUUAUGAAUACUUAAUUCAUAAGUAACUUAGGGGG
RNAcentral lists this transfer RNA (62 nucleotides) under Alternanthera philoxeroides. RNAcentral's name for it is "partial tRNA-His". The record is from RNAcentral. Lineage: Eukaryota; Viridiplantae; Streptophyta; Magnoliopsida; Caryophyllales; Amaranthaceae.